RNAcentral lists this ribosomal RNA (253 nucleotides) under uncultured bacterium. RNAcentral describes it as "partial 16S ribosomal RNA". It matches the Rfam family "Bacterial small subunit ribosomal RNA", at positions 524 to 776 of the family's 1533-position model. The record is from RNAcentral.
UACGGGGGGGGCAAGCGUUGUUCGGAAUUACUGGGCGUAAAGGGCGCGUAGGCGGCCUGCUAAGUCACACGUGAAAUCCCCCGGCUCAACCGGGGAACUGCGUGUGAUACUGGCGGGCUUGAAUUCGGGAGAGGGAUGUGGAAUUCCAGGUGUAGCGGUGAAAUGCGUAGAUAUUAGGAAGAACACCAGUGGCGAAGGCGGCUCACUGGCUCGGUACUGACGCUGAGGCGCGAAAGCGUGGGGAGCAAACAGG